GACGAACGCUGGCGGCGUGCUUAACACAUGCAAGUCGAACGGAAAGGCCCUGCUUUUGUGGGGUGCUCGAGUGGCGAACGGGUGAGUAACACGUGAGUAACCUGCCCUUGACUUUGGGAUAACUUCAGGAAACUGGGGCUAAUACCGGAUAUGAGCUCCUGCUGCAUGGUGGGGGUUGGAAAGUUUCGGCGGUUGGGGAUGGACUCGCGGCUUAUCAGCUUGUUGGUGGGGUAGUGGCUUACCAAGGCUUUGACGGGUAGCCGGCCUGAGAGGGUGAACGGCCACAGUGGGACUGAGAUACGGCCCAGAAUCCUAAGGGAGGCAGCAGUGGGGAAUAUUGCACAAUGGGCGGAAGCCUGAUGCAGCAACGCCGCGUGCGGGAUGACGGGCUUCGGGUUGUAAACAGAUUUCGCCUGUGACGAAGCGUGAGUGACGGUAAUGGGUAAAGAAGCACCGGCUAACUACGUG
This 468-nucleotide ribosomal RNA is filed under the name uncultured bacterium. RNAcentral's name for it is "partial 16S ribosomal RNA". It matches the Rfam family "Bacterial small subunit ribosomal RNA", at positions 28 to 507 of the family's 1533-position model. The record is from RNAcentral.